GUUCUAGUUAGGUUCAUUCUUUUUUACUGUGAACUGUUUUAAUUUUCAGCGUUUGAGGAAUGUCUUUUAGUCAUAGGGAUAGACUAUUAGAAUGUUAACCGAGCUGAAGUCAGGUUUAGACCUGGUAUCCUAUUAAUUAUUUACCAAAAGAAUUCAGUAUUAUUAUUGUAACAUAAGCGUAAAAAACUUAUAAAACAACUUUUAACAACGGAUCUCUUGGUUCUCGCAUCGAUGAAGAACGUAGCAAAGUGCGAUAACUAGUGUGAAUUGCAUAUUCAGUGAAUCAUCGAGUCUUUGAACGCAACUUGCGCUCAAUGGUAUUCCAUUGAGCACGCCUGUUUCAGUAUCAAAAACACCCCACAUUCAUAAUUUUGUUGUGAAUGGAACUGAGAAUUUCGACUUGUUUGAAUUCUUUAAACUUAUUAGGCCUGAACUAUUGUUCUUUCUGCCUGAACAUUUUUUUAAUAUAAAGGAAUGCUCUAGUAUUAAGACUAUCUCUGGGGCCUCCCAAAUAAAACUUUCUUAAAUUUGAUCUGAAAUCAGGCGGGAUUACCCGCUGAACUUAAGCAUAUCAAUAAGCGGAGGA
Molecule: ribosomal RNA, 586 nt
Filed under: Mucor hiemalis
Lineage: Eukaryota; Fungi; Mucoromycota; Mucoromycetes; Mucorales; Mucoraceae
Description: eukaryotic LSU rRNA
Rfam family: 5.8S ribosomal RNA (bases 197-349)
Source: RNAcentral